UUACGUCGGGGGUUAAAAAUCAACAAAAGUAAUUAGGUACUCGUUACCAAACUGCCACUUUUAGCAAACUAAAAUGGCGUCUCUUGUUUUUUUAGAUAAUGACAUUGGUUUUACUUUGAUGGAAGAGAUCCAGGACGCUGAAUUAAAGGAGUUAGUGCCAAGUCUAAAAGAAAGAAUUUUAUUCAAGAAAGGACUCUAAAAAUUACGCGGGAUUAUUUAUGAAACUGCGUCUGAAGAUACAGCUUCAAUAAGCGAUGAGUUGGUUUCACCAAGCUCGCCGUCAAGGACCAUUAGCUCCGGAAUGAGUUAACGGGGCACAGAGAAAUCUCAUAACCAGAGUGAAAUUAAAACCAAACUGGAGCAAUUCCAAAAAAUGCAUCUAGCCAGAGGAACCACUUUCCAACCGCUGGUGAUUGCUGUCGGACCAACGAGCAGGGACUUGCAACAUUUCUACGUAGCAGUUGAAUCAGUUCUCUACAAGGUAGACCAACUGCUAAAAGCUGUCGAUGUGUGCUUUAAAUUAUUUAAUACUUGUG
Long non-coding RNA from Leguminivora glycinivorella, 536 nucleotides. RefSeq lists it as uncharacterized. The record is from RefSeq and is a predicted model, not a curated record. The transcript has 3 exons. NCBI's taxonomy places the organism in Eukaryota, Metazoa, Arthropoda, Insecta, Lepidoptera, Tortricidae.